CCUACGGGCGGCAGCAGUGAGGAAUAUUGGUCAAUGGGCGCUAGCCUGAACCAGCCAAGUAGCGUGAAGGAUGACUGCCCUAUGGGUUGUAAACUUCUUUUAUAUGGGAAUAAAGUGCAGUAUGUAUACUGCUUUGCAUGUACCUUAUGAAUAAGGAUCGGCUAACUCCGUGCCAGCAGCCGCGGUAAUACGGAGGAUUCGAGCGUUAUCCGGAUUUAUUGGGUUUAAAGGGAGCGUAGGCGGGUUGUUAAGUCAGUUGUGAAAGUUUGCGGCUCAACCGUAAGAUUGCAGUUGAUACUGGCAGCCUUGAGUACAGUAGAGGUAGGCGGAAUGCGUGGUGUAGCGGUGAAAUGCUUAGAUAUCACGAAGAACUCCGAUUGCGAAGGCAGCCUGCUGGACUGUAACUGACGCUGAUGCUCGAAAGUGUGGGUAUCAAACAGGAUUAGAUACCCGUGUAGUC
RNAcentral lists this ribosomal RNA (460 nucleotides) under uncultured bacterium. RNAcentral describes it as "partial 16S ribosomal RNA". It matches the Rfam family "Bacterial small subunit ribosomal RNA", at positions 338 to 795 of the family's 1533-position model. The record is from RNAcentral.